CUGAUGUUGAACGCUUGUUCACUAAAGCUUCGGGAGUGGAAACCAGAAAAAAUACCUGUCAGGCAAAGCUGAAAUCUGCUCAAAGCGGCGGAUUCUUCGCUGCUUUGUGUGUGUUUGGGAAGUGGAAGAGCUCAAAAAGACUUGCAUUAUCUUGUAUAAUUGAAUAUGAGCAAUUUGGAUGGAAUUAAUAUUAAUCUUUUCCUGUGGCAGGGUUCCCUGCGAGGCUGUGCAGCCUGGGGGGGGGGCACAGUGGGGAGAGCGAGCCAGGAUCCUCUUCACAUAAAAAAACCCAGCAGUGCUUUGCAGGGUUUGACUUGAGAGCCACUCCAGAGCCCGGGCCUCUUUUGGGAAGCAGGAACAGAGCAGAACUUUGCACCAGCCUCCAGAUCUGGUUCCAGUUUUGGAUUUCCCUCUAAGCUGAUGACAUUUGCACACAGGCAGUUAAUUCCCGGUGAGAGUGUUAACAGUUUGGAGCGAGGCAAACUUUCAAGCCGGGUUCUCCCAAGUGUUUUCAUUCGCUUCCAGCCCGACUGAGAACAACUUCCAGCUGCAUGACAGCAAAACAGCGUGUGUGUAAUAAGGAACCGAGGGAGUCGGUGCAGGGUUCUUUUAAUUAGCACCAACCCGUCGCUGUGCACAUAAUACAAAGUAAAGGAUUUGUGUGCGAGGGAAGUGGAGAGGAGAUGAGCGGCCUCUGGGCUUGUUACACUCCUCAGUUCAGCACCGUUACCUCCUGUAUCUUCAGGUAACUAAUUUUCCAGUUUUCGCUGCAUGGUCAGAAGCACAUUAUGAGGAAAUUUAGAAUUCACAAGUCUCCCUCCAUCAAAAUUAAAGCACGGAUUCAUUUUAAAUGAGAGACUGUCUCAUGUUUAUUUUAUUUUAUUUUUAACCUUGGGCAGAUGUUAUUCAAAUUUGUACACGACCUACCCUAAAGCCGCCGAUGAUACAUUCACGAUUUUAAUCUGUGAUUUGAUUUAGAGGUACAAAGAGCAAAACAUUAUGAAUGAAUGCAACUCGAAACUAAUCGGCUUUGUGUAAAUUUUCUUCAUCCAUUGUAGAGGCAAUGUGUUUAUGCAUCAAACGCUG
Long non-coding RNA from Betta splendens (Siamese fighting fish), 1086 nucleotides. RefSeq lists it as uncharacterized. The transcript is spliced from 3 exons. The record is from RefSeq and is a predicted model, not a curated record. Lineage: Eukaryota; Metazoa; Chordata; Actinopteri; Anabantiformes; Osphronemidae.